CCUACGGGGGGCUGCAGUGAGGAAUAUUGGUCAAUGGACGAGAGUCUGAACCAGCCAAGUAGCGUGAAGGAUGACUGCCCUAUGGGUUGUAAACUUCUUUUAUAUGGGAAUAAAACGUUCCACGUGUGGGAUUUUGUAUGUACCAUAUGAAUAAGGAUCGGCUAACUCCGUGCCAGCAGCCGCGGUAAUACGGGGGAUCCGAGCGUUAUCCGGAUUUAUUGGGUUUAAAGGGAGCGUAGGUGGAUUGUUAAGUCAGUUGUGAAAGUUUGCGGCUCAACCGUAAAAUUGCAGUUGAAACUGGCAGUCUUGAGUACAGUAGAGGUGGGCGGAAUUCGUGGUGUAGCGGUGAAAUGCUUAGAUAUCACGAAGAACUCCGAUUGCGAAGGCAGUUCACUGGACUGCAACUGACACUGAGGCUCGAAAGUGUGGGUAUCAAACAGGAUUAGAUCCCUGUAGUC
This 458-nucleotide ribosomal RNA is filed under the name uncultured bacterium. Its description in RNAcentral is "partial 16S ribosomal RNA". It matches the Rfam family "Bacterial small subunit ribosomal RNA", at positions 338 to 795 of the family's 1533-position model. The record is from RNAcentral.